AGGACGAACGCUGGCGGCGUGCUUAACACAUGCAAGUCGAGCGGUAAGGCCUUUCGGGGUACACGAGCGGCGAACGGGUGAGUAACACGUGGGUGAUCUGCCCUGCACUCUGGGAUAAGCCUGGGAAACUGGGUCUAAUACCGGAUAUGACCUGCUCUCGCAGUGGGGGUGGGUGGAAAGAUUUAUCGGUGCAGGAUGGGCCCGCGGCCUAUCAGCUUGGUUGGUGGGGUAAUCGGCCUAACCAAGGCGACGGACGGGUAGCCGACCUGAGAGGGUGACCGGCCACACGUGGGACUGAGACACGGCCAGACUCUACGGAGCAGCAGUGGGAAUAUGCACAAGUGGGACAAAGCUGAUGCAGGCCGAACGCGCGUGA
This 376-nucleotide ribosomal RNA is filed under the name uncultured soil bacterium. Its description in RNAcentral is "bacterial SSU rRNA". It matches the Rfam family "Bacterial small subunit ribosomal RNA", at positions 26 to 404 of the family's 1533-position model. The record is from RNAcentral.